This 123-nucleotide small RNA is filed under the name unclassified sequences. Its description in RNAcentral is "LOOT RNA". It matches the Rfam family "LOOT RNA". Rfam says of the family: Latescibacteria, OD1/Parcubacteria, OP11, TM7. The record is from Rfam by way of RNAcentral.
AGCCUAAACCAGUGAGUAAUCACUGGCAUGGUGAAGAAGUCUGAUUAGAGCCAAAGAACCCAUCAUAUAGGGUUUGCUCUAAUCAGCCAUAUCGGGAAACUGGUAUGGAGGGUUAAAACCCUC